UAGACAGAGGCCUGUUGGUUUGGGCACCUGGCUGUUAACCAGGGGUUUAUGGGAUCGAAACCCAUCUGUCUAG
This 73-nucleotide transfer RNA is filed under the name Otidiphaps nobilis. RNAcentral's name for it is "tRNA-Asn". It matches the Rfam family "tRNA". From Rfam's summary of the family: Transfer RNA (tRNA) molecules are approximately 80 nucleotides in length. Their secondary structure includes four short double-helical elements and three loops (D, anti-codon, and T loops). Further hydrogen bonds mediate the characteristic L-shaped molecular structure. tRNAs have two regions of fundamental functional importance: the anti-codon, which is responsible for specific mRNA codon recognition, and the 3' end, to which the tRNAs corresponding amino acid is attached (by aminoacyl-tRNA synthetases). tRNAs cope with the degeneracy of the genetic code in two manners: having more than one tRNA (with a specific anti-codon) for a particular amino acid; and 'wobble' base-pairing, i.e. permitting non-standard base-pairing at the 3rd anti-codon position. The record is from RNAcentral. Lineage: Eukaryota; Metazoa; Chordata; Aves; Columbiformes; Columbidae.